UGGAGAGUUUGAUCCUGGCUCAGGACGAACGCUGGCGGCAUGCCUAAUACAUGCAAGUCGAGCGGACUUGAAGAGAAGCUUGCUUCUCKGAURGUUAGCGGCGGACGGGUGAGUAACACGUAGGCAACCUGCCCUCAAGUUUGGGACAACUACCGGAAACGGUAGCUAAUACCGAAUAAUUGUUUUCUUCGCCUGAAGRRAACUGGAAAGACGGAGCAAUCUGUCACUUGGGGAUGGGCCUGCGGCGCAUUAGCUAGUUGGUGAGGUAACGGCUCACCAAGGCGACGAUGCGUAGCCGACCUGAGAGGGUGAUCGGCCACACUGGGACUGAGACACGGCCCAGACUCCUACGGGAGGCAGCAGUAGGGAAUCUUCCGCAAUGGGCGAAAGCCUGACGGAGCAAUGCCGCGUGAGUGAUGAAGGUUUUCGGAUCGUAAAGCUCUGUUGCCAGGGAAGAACGCUUGGGAGAGUAACUGCUCUCAAGGUGACGGUACCUGAGAAGAAAGCCCCGGCUAACUACGUGCCAGCAGCCGCGGUA
This 538-nucleotide ribosomal RNA is filed under the name Paenibacillus sp. 10402. Its description in RNAcentral is "bacterial SSU rRNA". It matches the Rfam family "Bacterial small subunit ribosomal RNA", at positions 1 to 522 of the family's 1533-position model. Lineage: Bacteria; Bacillati; Bacillota; Bacilli; Caryophanales; Paenibacillaceae. The record is from RNAcentral.